AGUGAACGCUGGCGGUAGGCCUAACACACGCGAGUCGAACGGCAGCACAGUAAGAGCUUGCUCUUACGGGUGGCGAGUGGCGGACGGGUGAGGAAUACAUCGGAAUCUACUUUUUCGUGGGGGAUAACGUAGGGAAACUUACGCUAAUACCGCAUACGACCUACGGGUGAAAGCAGGGGAUCUUCGGACCUUGCGCGAUUGAAUGAGCCGAUGUCGGAUUAGCUAGUUGGCGGGGUAAAGGCCCACCAAGGCGACGAUCCGUAGCUGGUCUGAGAGGAUGAUCAGCCACACUGGAACUGAGACACGGUCCAGACUCCUACGGGAGGCAGCAGCGGGGAAUAUUGGACAAUGGGCGCAAGCCUGAUCCAGCCAUACCGCGUGGGUGAAGAAGGCCUUCGGGUUGUAAAGCCCUUUUGUUGGGAAAGAAAAGCAGCAGGUUAAUACCCCGCUGUUCUGACGGUACCCAAAGAAUAAGCACCGGCUAACUUCGUG
This 492-nucleotide ribosomal RNA is filed under the name uncultured bacterium. RNAcentral describes it as "partial 16S ribosomal RNA". It matches the Rfam family "Bacterial small subunit ribosomal RNA", at positions 29 to 507 of the family's 1533-position model. The record is from RNAcentral.